Molecule: ribosomal RNA, 497 nt
Filed under: uncultured bacterium
Lineage: Bacteria
Description: partial 16S ribosomal RNA
Rfam family: Bacterial small subunit ribosomal RNA
Source: RNAcentral
GAUGAACGCUGGCGGCGUGCCUAAUACAUGCAAGUCGAGCGAACAGACGAGGAGCUUGCUCCUCUGACGUUAGCGGCGGACGGGUGAGUAACACGUGGAUAACCUACCUAUAAGACUGGGAUAACUUCGGGAAACCGGAGCUAAUACCGGAUAAUAUAUUGAACCGCAUGGUUCAAUAGUGAAAGACGGUUUUGCUGUCACUUAUAGAUGGAUCCGCGCCGCAUUAGCUAGUUGGUAAGGUAACGGCUUACCAAGGCGACGAUGCGUAGCCGACCUGAGAGGGUGAUCGGCCACACUGGAACUGAGACACGGUCCAGACUCCUACGGGAGGCAGCAGUAGGGAAUCUUCCGCAAUGGGCGAAAGCCUGACGGAGCAACGCCGCGUGAGUGAUGAAGGUCUUCGGAUCGUAAAACUCUGUUAUUAGGCAAGAACAAAUGUGUAAGUAACUAUGCACGUCUUGACGGUACCUAAUCAGAAAGCCACGGCUAACUACGUG